AACUCUGAUGCAGCGAUGCCGCGUGAGUGAAGAAGGCCCUUGGGUUGUAAAGCUCUUUCGUCGGGGAAGAAAAUGACUGUACCCGAAUAAGAAGGUCCGGCUAACUUCGUGCCAGCAGCCGCGGUAAUACGAAGGGACCUAGCGUAGUUCGGAAUUACUGGGCUUAAAGAGUUCGUAGGUGGUUGAAAAAGUUGGUGGUGAAAUCCCAGAGCUUAACUCUGGAACUGCCAUCAAAACUUUUCAGCUAGAGUUUGAUAGAGGAAAGCAGAAUUUCUAGUGUAGAGGUGAAAUUCGUAGAUAUUAGAAAGAAUACCAAUUGCGAAGGCAGCUUUCUGGAUCAUUACUGACACUGAGGAACGAAAGCAUGGGUAGCGAAGAGGAUUAGAUACCCUCGUAGUCCAUGCCGUAAACGAUGUGUGUUAGACGUUGGAAAUUUAUUUUCAGUGUCGCAGCAAAAGCGAUAAACACACCGCCUGGGGAGUACGACCGCAAGGUUAAAACUCAAAUGAAUUGACGGGGACCCGCACAAGUAGUGGAGCAUGUGGUUUAAUUCGAAGAUACGCGCAGAACCUUACCAACACUUGACAUGUUCGUCGCGACUCUAAGAGAUUAGAGUUUUCGGUUCGGCCGGACGAAACACAGGUGCUGCAUGGCUGUCGUCAGCUCGUGUCGUGAGAUGUUGGGUUAAGUCCCGCAACGAGCGCAACCCUCACUUUUAGUUGCCAUCAUUAAGUUGGGCACUCUGAAAGAACUGCCAGUGAUAGGCUGGAGGAAGGUGGGG
This 781-nucleotide ribosomal RNA is filed under the name uncultured Alphaproteobacteria bacterium. Its description in RNAcentral is "bacterial SSU rRNA". It matches the Rfam family "Bacterial small subunit ribosomal RNA", at positions 379 to 1178 of the family's 1533-position model. Lineage: Bacteria; Pseudomonadati; Pseudomonadota; Alphaproteobacteria. The record is from RNAcentral.